GACGAACGCUGGCGGCGUGCCUAAUACAUGCAAGUCGAACGCUUCUUUCCUCCCGAGUGCUUGCACUCAAUUGGAAAGAGGAGUGGCGGACGGGUGAGUAACACGUGGGUAACCUACCCAUCAGAGGGGGAUAACACUUGGAAACAGGUGCUAAUACCGCAUAACAGUUUAUGCCGCAUGGCAUAAGAGUGAAAGGCGCUUUCGGGUGUCGCUGAUGGAUUGACCCGCGGUGCAUUAGCUAGUUGGUGAGGUAACGGCUCACCAAGGCCACGAUGCAUAGCCGACCUGAGAGGGUGACCGGCCACACUGGGACUGAGACACGGCCCAGACUCCUACGGGAGGCAGCAGUAGGGAAUCUUCGGCAAUGGACGAAAGUCUGACCGAGCAACGCCGCGUGAGUGAAGAAGGUUUUCGGAUCGUAAAACUCUGUUGUUAGAGAAGAACAAGGACGUUAGUAACUGAACGUCCCCUGACGGUAUCUAACCAGAAAGCCACGGCUAACUACGUG
RNAcentral lists this ribosomal RNA (508 nucleotides) under uncultured bacterium. Its description in RNAcentral is "partial 16S ribosomal RNA". It matches the Rfam family "Bacterial small subunit ribosomal RNA", at positions 28 to 507 of the family's 1533-position model. The record is from RNAcentral.